AAGUCGUAACAAGGUCUCCGUAGGUGAACCUGCGGAGGGAUCAUUACCAAAGAUGGCGGGCCUCCGGGUCCCCGUCCCCAACCCUUUGUUGACCAAAACCUUUUUGCCUCGGGGGCAUGAGCGUCCGCCGCCGCCCCCGGAGGACCACCGAACGCUGUCUCUUUACCUCGGAGUAUUGAUUAAAUACAUGAAAA
Molecule: unclassified non-coding RNA, 194 nt
Filed under: plant metagenome
Description: partial contains small subunit ribosomal RNA and internal transcribed spacer 1
Rfam family: Eukaryotic small subunit ribosomal RNA (bases 1-46)
Source: RNAcentral